RNAcentral lists this ribosomal RNA (465 nucleotides) under Vreelandella stevensii. RNAcentral's name for it is "partial 16S ribosomal RNA". It matches the Rfam family "Bacterial small subunit ribosomal RNA", at positions 338 to 795 of the family's 1533-position model. Lineage: Bacteria; Pseudomonadati; Pseudomonadota; Gammaproteobacteria; Oceanospirillales; Halomonadaceae. The record is from RNAcentral.
CCUACGGGGUGCAGCAGUGGGGAAUAUUGGACAAUGGGCGAAAGCCUGAUCCAGCCAUGCCGCGUGUGUGAAGAAGGCCUUCGGGUUGUAAAGCACUUUCAGUGGGGAAGAAAGCCUUGGGGCUAAUACCCUCGAGGAAGGACAUCACCCACAGAAGAAGCACCGGCUAACUCCGUGCCAGCAGCCGCGGUAAUACGGAGGGUGCGAGCGUUAAUCGGAAUUACUGGGCGUAAAGCGCGCGUAGGCGGUCUGAUAAGCCGGUUGUGAAAGCCCCGGGCUCAACCUGGGAACGGCAUCCGGAACUGUCAGGCUAGAGUGCAGGAGAGGAAGGUAGAAUUCCCGGUGUAGCGGUGAAAUGCGUAGAGAUCGGGAGGAAUACCAGUGGCGAAGGCGGCCGUCUGGACUGACACUGACGCUGAGGUGCGAAAGCGUGGGUAGCAAACAGGAUUAGAUACCCGGGUAGUC